Molecule: ribosomal RNA, 511 nt
Filed under: uncultured bacterium
Lineage: Bacteria
Description: partial 16S ribosomal RNA
Rfam family: Bacterial small subunit ribosomal RNA
Source: RNAcentral
GACGAACGCUGGCGGCGUGCCUAAUACAUGCAAGUCGAGCGAUGAAGGAGAUACUUGUAUCUUUUGAAGAGCGGCGAACGGGUGAGUAACGCGUGGGGAAUCUGCCAAUGAGUGGGGGACAACAUUUGGAAACGAAUGCUAAUACCGCAUAAAAUCUAUUGAGACAUCUCAAGAGAUUGAAAGGAACAAUUGUUUCGCUCGUUGAUGAUCCCGCGUUGUAUUAGCUAGUUGGUGAGGUAAGGGCUCACCAAGGCGAUGAUACAUAGCCGACCUGAGAGGGUGAUCGGCCACAUUGGGACUGGGACACGGCCCAAACUCCUACGGGAGGCAGCAGUAGGGAAUCUUCGGCAAUGGACGAAAGUCUGACCGGGCAACGCCGCGUGAGUGAAGAAGGUUUUCGGAUCGUAAAGCUCUGUUGUUGUUAAAGAACGUUGAUGAGAGUGGAAAGUUCAUCAAGUGACGGUAAACAACCAGAAAGGGACGGCUAACUACGUGCCAGCCGCCGCCGUAA